CCUAAAGGCCCGUUUACACUUGCAAUUUCGGCUGCGAUUUUAUGUGCGAUUUUCCUCUUCUGAUGCAUGUGAACGAGUGGAUGAGUUAUUAAUGUUCAGUCGAUACUACAUCAGUGAGACAUCUACUCAGAACAAACAACUUAUUUACUCGUUCACAUCCAUCAGAGGAAGAAAAUCGCACUAGAAAUCGCAGCAAAAAUUGCAAGUGUAAACGGGCCUUAA
Non-coding RNA from Paramuricea clavata, 222 nucleotides. The record is from the annotation of a GenBank genome assembly. Lineage: Eukaryota; Metazoa; Cnidaria; Anthozoa; Malacalcyonacea; Plexauridae.